This 624-nucleotide ribosomal RNA is filed under the name uncultured bacterium. Its description in RNAcentral is "bacterial SSU rRNA". It matches the Rfam family "Bacterial small subunit ribosomal RNA", at positions 130 to 752 of the family's 1533-position model. The record is from RNAcentral.
CGUACACUCAGGGAUAGCCUUUCGAAAGAAAGAUUAAUACCUGAUGGUAUGAUGAGAUUGCAUGAUAGCAUCAUUAAAGAUUUAUCGGUGUACGAUGGGGAUGCGUUCCAUUAGGUAGUAGGCGGGGUAACGGCCCACCUAGCCAACGAUGGAUAGGGGUUCUGAGAGGAAGGUCCCCCACAUUGGAACUGAGACACGGUCCAAACUCCUACGGGAGGCAGCAGUGAGGAAUAUUGGUCAAUGGACGAGAGUCUGAACCAGCCAAGUAGCGUGAAGGAUGAAGGUCCUACGGAUUGUAAACUUCUUUUAUAAGGGAAUAAACCCUCCCACGUGUGGGAGCUUGUAUGUACCUUAUGAAUAAGCAUCGGCUAACUCCGUGCCAGCAGCCGCGGUAAUACGGAGGAUGCGAGCGUUAUCCGGAUUUAUUGGGUUUAAAGGGAGCGCAGACGGGUCGUUAAGUCAGCUGUGAAAGUUUGGGGCUCAACCUUAAAAUUGCAGUUGAUACUGGCGUCCUUGAGUGCGGUUGAGGUGUGCGGAACUCGUGGUGUAGCGGUGAAAUGCUUAGAUAUCACGAAGAACUCCGAUUGCGAAGGCAGCACACUAAUCCGUAACUGACGUUCAUGC